Transfer RNA from Loxodonta africana (African savanna elephant), 71 nucleotides. It matches the Rfam family "tRNA". Rfam says of the family: Transfer RNA (tRNA) molecules are approximately 80 nucleotides in length. Their secondary structure includes four short double-helical elements and three loops (D, anti-codon, and T loops). The record is from Rfam. Lineage: Eukaryota; Metazoa; Chordata; Mammalia; Proboscidea; Elephantidae.
GCAUUAGUGGUUCAGUAGUAGAAUUCUCGCCUUCCAUGUAGGAGACCUGGGUUCAAUUCCCAGCCAGUGCA